This 1493-nucleotide unclassified non-coding RNA is filed under the name Hevea brasiliensis (rubber tree). Lineage: Eukaryota; Viridiplantae; Streptophyta; Magnoliopsida; Malpighiales; Euphorbiaceae. The record is from RNAcentral.
GUCCUUUCACCCCUUGCCUGCUCUAUUUCCAUCUUUUUAUCCCAAAAAGGAUUCUUGCCUAGCAAAAAGCUCUUUACAAUAUUUUCAUUAGUGUCACUACAGAGAACUCGAACUCAUAUGAAAAUGAGUUCAUCAACUGUUAUAUUGAAUCUUUGCAUAUAGAUUCAUGCACUCUAUAGACACUUUAAUUAGUUCUGCACACACAUCAAUACAAAUAUGUAAUCUAAUAUUGUUAAACUCGUUCUUAUAUGAGUUCGAACUUAUAUUAGAUGCAUUAUUUUCCUUUUGCAGACUUUGAUAGAUCAUCAUUUCUCUGUUUUGUCUCUCUCUCCAAUCUUGUAUUUCCAAGGCCAGCUCUUUCCCCUAACCAAUCUAUAAUAUCCUUGAAAACAAUCUCAAUAUUUUCCAAUGGCUCCCCAUAAAGCAACCCAUGCCACAUUCCUGGGUAUAGCUUGAUGGUCUUGUCUGUGCUUGAAGCUGCAUUGUGCAGUUGUUUGCUAACAGAUUUAUCGGUCACUCUGUCGUCUUCGCCGUGGAGAACCAGAAAUGGCAAUGAAACCUCUUCAAGCUUUUGCUCAACUUGCAUAGUAGUUCUCAAUAGUUCAUAUCCAGUUUUCAAGCGUGGGCGACCUUUGUAGCAAUAUGGGUUUGAUCUAAUCUCUUGUCUUACUUCAGGUACUUUGAAUGCAAGAUCGAUAAUAUCCUUAGAAGGGAUUAUUCUCCAAGUUGGAAUGUAAUUGCUAAGCUUUGAGAGAACAUUGAUUACCACUGGAUGUGGCUUCAAAUCUUCAGCUAUCUUACACAUGGGUGCCACCAACACUGCACCAUCCCAAAACUCAGGCUUUUUCCUAUGCAAAAGCAGAGCCACUGCUCCUCCCAUGGACUCUCCAAGCAAAUAUCUCAUCUUCCCUCUGUUCUCUUCCUUCUCACAUAUGCUUGUAAAAUGACUAGUGCAAUCAUCAAUAAUAUUAUCCAUAUUAUCCACAUAGCCCUGCAAUCCUGCAGAUUUUCCAUGCCCUUCAUAAUCUAUUCCAUAAAUUGCAAAUCCUUCCUUUGCAAGACGAUGUGCAGUGCUGUUCAUAGAGAUGCUGCACUCCAUGGCAUAGCCAUGGCAGAUAAAGAUCAAAGCUAUUGGCUCUUGAUUCACAGGAAUCCAUCUGCAUGUGAAUAGCUUCAAUCCUCUUGAAUUCAAGAUGAACUCCUCAUCAUAUCUGAUGUUUCCUGUAUCUUUUUCCUGCAAAUAUUGAAGAACAACAAGUCCAAAUAAACAAACAAACAAACAAACAAGAAAAUAAUUAGUUCAUUGAAGAAAAUGAUGAUGAGAGAGAGCUACCAUUGAAAAGGGAUAUCUGAGAAACUUAAGGGAAUUGGAUAACAGACGAUUUAUUACAGGAUUCUUUUAUUAUGAGAGAUGUAAAUAGAUGUGCAUGGAAUCACACUGACUCAUCCCAAGAAGCAAGGAGGUUCAGAGACUUGGGAAUCUGUAUGGAGAC